CAGUCGCCACGGUAAUACGAGGGGGGCAAGCGUUGUUCGGAAUUAUUGGGCGUAAAGGGUGCGUAGGCGGCUAGUCGCGUCGGCUGUGAAAACCUGGGGCUCAACCCCGGGCCUGCAGCCGAUACGGGCUAGCUAGAAUUCGGUAGGGGAGACUGGAAUUCCUGGUGUAGCGGUGAAAUGCGCAGAUAUCAGGAGGAACACCGGUGGCGAAGGCGGGUCUCUGGGCCGAUAUUGACGCUGAGGAGCGAAAGCGUGGGGAGCGAACAGGAUUAGAUACCCGCGUAGUCCCUGUCUCUUAUAC
This 301-nucleotide ribosomal RNA is filed under the name uncultured bacterium. RNAcentral's name for it is "partial 16S ribosomal RNA". It matches the Rfam family "Bacterial small subunit ribosomal RNA", at positions 509 to 807 of the family's 1533-position model. The record is from RNAcentral.